RNAcentral lists this unclassified non-coding RNA (201 nucleotides) under Hevea brasiliensis (rubber tree). The record is from RNAcentral. Lineage: Eukaryota; Viridiplantae; Streptophyta; Magnoliopsida; Malpighiales; Euphorbiaceae.
AAUGCAUCUAAAUAAACCAUUUUGGCAUACACUAUUUUUUUUCUUGAAAACGGAAGAAAAUCAUGAUCUUUCUUCUAUGGGAAUCUUUUUAUGGUUCCCUUUUUCAUUUGUUCCAUUUCAAGCUCUUUAUCUAAAAGCUAAUUAAUCUCUCAAGUUGUUCAUUUUGUUACACGCAACAGGGACCAGAGAUUCGAACUGGGU